UACGGAAGGCAGCAGUGGGGAAUAUUGCACAAUGGGCGCAAGCCUGAUGCAGCCAUGCCGCGUGUAUGAAGAAGGCCUUCGGGUUGUAAAGUACUUUCAGUCGUGAGGAAGGUGUUAAGGUUAAUAAUCUUAGCAAUUGACGUUAGCGACAGAAGAAGCACCGGCUAACUCCGUGCCAGCAGCCGCGGUAAUACGGAGGGUGCGAGCGUUAAUCGGAAUUACUGGGCGUAAAGGGCACGCAGGCGGUUAAUUAAGUUGGAUGUGAAAUCCCCGGGCUUAACCUGGGAAUGGCAUUCAAGACUGGUUAGCUAGAGUCUUGUAGAGGGGGUAGAAUUCCAUGUGUAGCGGUGAAAUGCGUAGAGAUGUGGAGGAAUACCGGGUGGCGAAGGCGGCCCCUGGGACAAAGGACUGACGCUCAUGUGCGAAAGCGUGGGGAGCAAACAGGGAUUAGAUACC
This 456-nucleotide ribosomal RNA is filed under the name uncultured bacterium. RNAcentral describes it as "bacterial SSU rRNA". It matches the Rfam family "Bacterial small subunit ribosomal RNA", at positions 340 to 786 of the family's 1533-position model. The record is from RNAcentral.